CCUACGGGAGGCAGCAGUGGGGAAUAUUGCACAAUGGGGGAAACCCUGAUGCAGCGACGCCGCGUGAGUGAAGAAGUACUUCGUUAUGUAAAGCUCUAUCAGCAUGGAAGAAAAUGACGGUACUUGAGUAAGAAUCCCCGGCUAACUACGUGCCAGCAGCCGCGGUAAUACGUAGGGGGCAAGCGUUAUCCGGAAUUACUGGGGGUAAAGGGAGCGUAGGCGGCAGUGCAAGUCGGGAGUGAAAGGCGGGGGUUCAACCCCCGGACUGCUCUGGAGACUGACCGGCUGGAGUGCAGGAGAGGUAAGUGGAAUUCCUAGUGUAGCGGUGAAAUGCGUAGAUAUUAGGAGGAACACCAGUGGCGAAGGCGGCUUACUGGACUGUAACUGACGUUGAGGCUCGAAAGCGUGGGGAGCAAACAGGAUUAGAUACCCUAGUAGUC
Molecule: ribosomal RNA, 440 nt
Filed under: uncultured bacterium
Lineage: Bacteria
Description: partial 16S ribosomal RNA
Rfam family: Bacterial small subunit ribosomal RNA
Source: RNAcentral